GCAGAUGUGAGUUCUGACAUGAUGGUGGAGGUCAGUGCUGCAGGGAGGUGGGUCAUUCACUUCAUGAUGGUGGAGGUCAGUGCUGCAGGGAGGUGGGUCAUUCACUUCAUGAUGGUGGAGGUCAGUGCUGCAGGGAGGUGGGUCAUUCACUUCAUGAUGGUGGAGGUCAGUGCUGCAGGGAGGUGGGUCAUUCACUUCAUGAUGGUGGAGGUCAGUGCUGCAGGGAGGUGGGUCAUUCACUUCAUGAUGGUGGAGGUCUGUGCUACAGGGAAGUGGUCAUUCACUUCAUGAUGGUGGAGGUCAGGGCUACAGGGAGGUGGUCAUUCACUUCAUGAUGAUGGAGGUCAGGGCUACAGGGAGGUGGUCAUUCACUUCAUGAUGAUGGAGGUCAGGGCUACAGGGCGGUGGUUGUUCAGGCAGGUGAUGGAAGGUUUCUUCGGUACAGGAACGAUGGUGGUCUGUUUGAAGCAGGAGGGGACUGUAGACAGGGAGAGGUUGAAAAUGGAGGUGAAAACCUCUGCUUGUUGGUCAGUGCACCCCCCGAGGACAUGUCCUGGAAUGCCAUCUGGCCCUGGUGACUUCCAAGGACUUUUUAAAAACUCUCCUCACGUCAGCCAUGGUUAGGGACAGAGUGCAGUCGUCCUGGUCCUCAACAAGCCUCACUGAAGGAGUUGUGUUGGUCGCCUCAAACUGUGUAUAGAAGGAGUUGAGCUGGUCAGGGAGCGAGGCAGUGGGACGAACAUCAUUACUAUUCCUCCCUUUUGUAUUCUGUGACGUCGCAGUCCUCCCCACAACUGGGGUCAGAGCUGUGGUAGUUAGACUCAAACUUAUCCCUG
Molecule: long non-coding RNA, 836 nt
Organism: Esox lucius (northern pike)
Lineage: Eukaryota; Metazoa; Chordata; Actinopteri; Esociformes; Esocidae
Source: Ensembl